CCUACGGGAGGCAGCAGUGGGGAAUUUUGGACAAUGGGCGCAAGCCUGAUCCAGCAAUGCCGCGUGAGUGAAGGAGGCCUUCGGGUUGUAAAGCUCUUUUGUCAGGGAAGAAACGGUGGUUCCUAAUACGGACUACUAAUGACGGUACCUGAAGAAUAAGCACCGGCUAACUACGUGCCAGCAGCCGCGGUAAUACGUAGGGUGCAAGCGUUAAUCGGAAUUACUGGGCGUAAAGCGUGCGCAGGCGGUUAUAUAAGUCAGAUGUGAAAUCCCCGGGCUCAACCUGGGAACUGCAUUUGAGACUGUAUGGCUAGAGUGUGUCAGAGGGGGGUAGAAUUCCACGUGUAGCAGUGAAAUGCGUAGAUAUGUGGAGGAAUACCGAUGGCGAAGGCAGCCCCCUGGGAUAACACUGACGCUCAUGCACGAAAGCGUGGGGAGCAAACAGGAUUAGAUACCCUGGUAGUCCACGCCCUAAACGAUGUCUACUAGUUGUCGGGACUUAAUUGUCUUGGUAACGCAGCUACGCGUGAGUAGACCGCCGUCGGGAGGUACGGUCGCGAGAGUAAACGUACGAAGAAGUAGAGGCGUGAGACGAGCGACGGACGACGACGAGGGAGGAGG
RNAcentral lists this ribosomal RNA (621 nucleotides) under uncultured bacterium. RNAcentral describes it as "bacterial SSU rRNA". The stretch from base 1 to 540 matches the Rfam family "Bacterial small subunit ribosomal RNA", at positions 338 to 873 of the family's 1533-position model. The record is from RNAcentral.